UACGUAGGGUGCAAGCGUUGUCCGGAAUUAUUGGGCGUAAAGAGCUCGUAGGCGGUUUGUCGCGUCUGCUGUGAAAUCCCGAGGCUCAACCUCGGGCUUGCAGUGGGUACGGGCAGACUAGAGUACGGCAGGGGAGACUGGAAUUCCUGGUGUAGCGGUGAAAUGCGCAGAUAUCAGGAGGAACACCGGUGGCGAAGGCGGGUCUCUGGGCCGAAACUGACGCUGAGGAGCGAAAGCGUGGGGAGCGAACAGG
Molecule: ribosomal RNA, 253 nt
Filed under: uncultured bacterium
Lineage: Bacteria
Description: partial 16S ribosomal RNA
Rfam family: Bacterial small subunit ribosomal RNA
Source: RNAcentral